UCUGUAUCCCUCUUCUGUUGUCCAGAACUAAAAGAGAGAGAGAGAGCAGUUGUUCUCCUUGGCCUGGCCCAUUUCCAGAAAGAGGAUCCCUCCCAAUUCUUCAAGAUUUGUAAGCCAAACGAAGAGAGUGAGGCAGUGAAAGGAAUGAACGUAGGAAUCUUGGUGUUUACAGAGGAGGAUCCUCAACGCCCUGUCCCCAAGGAGAUGAUUGAUAUUGCACUGAUUCUGGAGAAGCAUAUCGUUCUUCGGGACCUGAAGGAUGUGCCCAACGCAUUCGCCCUGCUGAUGGGUCUGCUCUACGUCUUCAACAUCCAUUACCCAAAA
Molecule: long non-coding RNA, 324 nt
Organism: Perca flavescens (yellow perch)
Lineage: Eukaryota; Metazoa; Chordata; Actinopteri; Perciformes; Percidae
Exons: 2
Source: RefSeq, a predicted model, not a curated record